UAAGACGAACCUUGCAAACGUUAUUCGGAAUCACUGGGCUUAAAGGGUGCGUAGGCGGUGCGGAAAGUUGGGUGUGAAAUCCCUCAGCUUAACUGAGGAACUGCGCUCAAAACUUCCGUGCUAGAGGGAGAUAGAGGUGAGCGGAACUUAGGGUGGAGCGGUGAAAUGCGUUGAUAUCCUAAGGAACACCGGUGGCGAAAGCGGCUCACUGGAUCUCUUCUGACGCUGAGGCACGAAAGCUAGGGGAGCGAACGGG
Molecule: ribosomal RNA, 256 nt
Filed under: uncultured bacterium
Lineage: Bacteria
Description: partial 16S ribosomal RNA
Rfam family: Bacterial small subunit ribosomal RNA
Source: RNAcentral